This 776-nucleotide ribosomal RNA is filed under the name Priestia flexa. RNAcentral's name for it is "bacterial SSU rRNA". It matches the Rfam family "Bacterial small subunit ribosomal RNA", at positions 35 to 791 of the family's 1533-position model. Lineage: Bacteria; Bacillati; Bacillota; Bacilli; Caryophanales; Bacillaceae. The record is from RNAcentral.
GGUAGUGCGGCGUGCUAAUACAUGCAAGUCGAGCGAACUGAUUAGAAGCUUGCUUCUAUGACGUUAGCGGCGGACGGGUGAGUAACACGUGGGCAACCUGCCUGUAAGACUGGGAUAACUCCGGGAAACCGGAGCUAAUACCGGAUAACAUUUUUUCUUGCAUAAGAGAAAAUUGAAAGAUGGUUUCGGCUAUCACUUACAGAUGGGCCCGCGGUGCAUUAGCUAGUUGGUGAGGUAACGGCUCACCAAGGCAACGAUGCAUAGCCGACCUGAGAGGGUGAUCGGCCACACUGGGACUGAGACACGGCCCAGACUCCUACGGGAGGCAGCAGUAGGGAAUCUUCCGCAAUGGACGAAAGUCUGACGGAGCAACGCCGCGUGAGUGAUGAAGGCUUUCGGGUCGUAAAACUCUGUUGUUAGGGAAGAACAAGUACAAGAGUAACUGCUUGUACCUUGACGGUACCUAACCAGAAAGCCACGGCUAACUACGUGCCAGCAGCCGCGGUAAUACGUAGGUGGCAAGCGUUAUCCGGAAUUAUUGGGCGUAAAGCGCGCGCAGGCGGUUUCUUAAGUCUGAUGUGAAAGCCCACGGCUCAACCGUGGAGGGUCAUUGGAAACUGGGGAACUUGAGUGCAGAAGAGAAAAGCGGAAUUCCACGUGUAGCGGUGAAAUGCGUAGAGAUGUGGAGGAACACCAGUGGCGAAGGCGGCUUUUUGGUCUGUAACUGACGCUGAGGCGCGAAAGCGUGGGGAGCAAACAGGAUUAGAUACCUGGGU